This 480-nucleotide ribosomal RNA is filed under the name uncultured Bacteroidota bacterium. RNAcentral's name for it is "bacterial SSU rRNA". It matches the Rfam family "Bacterial small subunit ribosomal RNA", at positions 28 to 505 of the family's 1533-position model. The record is from RNAcentral. Lineage: Bacteria; Pseudomonadati; Bacteroidota.
GAUGAACGCUAGCGGGAGGCUUAAUACAUGCAAGUCGAGGGGUAACAGGUUCUUCGGAACGCUGACGACCGGCAAACGGGUGAGUAACGCGUACGCAAUCUACCUCUUACAAAAGGAUAGCCCCGGGAAACUGGGAUUAAUACUUUAUAAUAUUAAGAGAAGGCAUCUUCUUUUAAUUAAAACUCCGGUGGUAAGAGAUGAGCGUGCGUCCCAUUAGGUAGUUGGUAAGGUAACGGCUUACCAAGCCGACGAUGGGUAGCUGGUCUGAGAGGAUGAUCAGCCACACGGGCACUGAGACACGGGCCCGACUCCUACGGGAGGCAGCAGUAGGGAAUAUUGGACAAUGGGGGAAACCCUGAUCCAGCCAUCCCGCGUGCAGGAUUAAGGCCCUAUGGGUUGUAAACUGCUUUUAUUAGGGAAGAAACCUUCGGAUUUUUCUGAAGCUGACGGUACCUAAUGAAUAAGCACCGGCUAACUCCG